This 375-nucleotide long non-coding RNA is filed under the name Eucalyptus grandis. RNAcentral describes it as "long non-coding RNA (EGRA_LNC002972)". Lineage: Eukaryota; Viridiplantae; Streptophyta; Magnoliopsida; Myrtales; Myrtaceae. The record is from RNAcentral.
AAGACAUCUUUGCGAAGAGAAUGUAUUUAUUUAAAUACAUUAUCAAUUGUAUUAUUUAUUUAACUAAUACAAUUGAUAAUGUAUUUAACUAAUACAUUAUCAAUUGUAUUAGUUAAAUAAAUAAUAGCUUCUAACAGUUGCGAGAAAUCAACCUUUUGAUGACACUUGUGCUUCUUAAACAUCCCUCUAUCCUUUAAUAGCUGUCACAAAUGUGAUGAUGUUUCCAUCAUGGCAAAAGUUCUACAAAAUGUGGAGAAAAAAUUUAUUGGAUGACUCUGAAUACGGGUAGAACUGGCAGAUGUAUCCAUUAGGGCUUCAAUGGAAGGGAAGUCAUCUAAAUUUUGGUCCUUGCAGCUCUAUCUUUGAUUGUGACUU